RNAcentral lists this ribosomal RNA (253 nucleotides) under uncultured bacterium. Its description in RNAcentral is "partial 16S ribosomal RNA". It matches the Rfam family "Bacterial small subunit ribosomal RNA", at positions 524 to 776 of the family's 1533-position model. The record is from RNAcentral.
UACGAAGGGGGCUAGCGUUGCUCGGAAUCACUGGGCGUAAAGGGUGCGUAGGCGGGUCUUUAAGUCAGGGGUGAAAUCCUGGAGCUCAACUCCAGAACUGCCUUUGAUACUGAAGAUCUUGAGUUCGGGAGAGGUGAGUGGAACUCCGAGUGUAGAGGUGAAAUUCGUAGAUAUUCGGAAGAACACCAGUGGCGAAGGCGGCUCACUGGCCCGAUACUGACGCUGAGGCACGAAAGCGUGGGGAGCAAACAGG